RNAcentral lists this ribosomal RNA (440 nucleotides) under uncultured bacterium. RNAcentral describes it as "partial 16S ribosomal RNA". It matches the Rfam family "Bacterial small subunit ribosomal RNA", at positions 338 to 795 of the family's 1533-position model. The record is from RNAcentral.
CCUACGGGCGGCAGCAGUGGGGAAUAUUGGACAAUGGGGGAAACCCUGAUCCAGCGACGCCGCGUGAGUGAAGAAGUAUUUCGGUACGUAAAGCUCUAUCAGCAGGAAAGAAAAUGACGGUACCUGACUAAGAAGCCCCGGCUAACUACGUGCCAGCAGCCGCGGUAAUACGUAGGGGGCAAGCGUUAUCCGGAUUUACUGGGUGUAAAGGGAGCGUAGCCGGCAGCGCAAGUCUGGGAUGAAAUGCCGGGGGCCAACCCCGGAACUGCUCUGGAAACUGUGAGGCUGGAGUGCAGGAGAGGUAAGCGGAAGUCCUGGUGUAGCGGUGAAAUGCGGAGAUAUCAGGAGGAACACCGGCGGCGAAGGCGGCUUACUGGACUGUAACUGACGUUGAGGCUCGAAGGCGUGGGGAGCAAACAGGAUUAGAUACCCCAGUAGUC